Homalodisca vitripennis (glassy-winged sharpshooter) is the source of this 459-nucleotide long non-coding RNA. RefSeq lists it as uncharacterized. The record is from RefSeq and is a predicted model, not a curated record. The transcript is spliced from 4 exons. NCBI's taxonomy places the organism in Eukaryota, Metazoa, Arthropoda, Insecta, Hemiptera, Cicadellidae.
AAUUUGGUUGAAACAGAAACAAAAUGGUGACGAUGUUAGUUAUGGUAGUGUUGUCAUUUUCAGUUAUAUGUGAUUUUCUGGACUUUGUGUAAAUUUCGACAAUUAUAAGAUUUGCAGUGACAAUCCCAAAGGAAAUUACAUCCUGAGCAGUUAAUCACUUGACAUAUAAUGACUUACACCUCAAGGAAAAGUUAGAGGGCGACCACCUAAAAACAAAAUAUGCACAUGGUGUGCCGAGAGUAGACAACCGCUGAAGUACAUUCUGCCAACCCAGCACGGGAAGAAAGAGUUCUGUUCUGAGACUUGUCUCUCAGAGUUCCGGAAAGCUUAUAAUAAGGGGGCCUGCAGCCAGUGUGACAAUGUGAUCCGGGGCUCUCCCUGUCCGCUUCGAGCAACCCGACUCCAGGCACAAAGAUUUCUGCAGCACCUCUUGUCUCAACAAGUUCCAGAAAGAUUCCA